CCCUUAGAUGUUCUGGGCCGCACGCGCGCUACACUGACAAGUUCAACAAGUGCUCCUUCACCGAUGGGUGCGGGUAAUCUUUAAACGCUUGUCGUGAUGGGGAUAGAUGAUUGUAAUUUUUCAUCUUCAACGAGGAAUUCCUAGUAAACGCAAGUCAUCAGCUUGCAUUGAUUACGUCCCUGCCCUUUGUACACACCGCCCGUCGCACCUACCGAUUGAAUGGAGAGGUGAAAUCUUCGGACUGUGAUGAUGUCGUCAGAUGUCGUCGUGGGAAGUGGAUUAAAUCUUUCCAUUUAGAGGAAGGUGAAGUCGUAACA
RNAcentral lists this ribosomal RNA (317 nucleotides) under uncultured eukaryote. Its description in RNAcentral is "partial 18S ribosomal RNA". It matches the Rfam family "Eukaryotic small subunit ribosomal RNA", at positions 1470 to 1796 of the family's 1831-position model. The record is from RNAcentral.